This 254-nucleotide ribosomal RNA is filed under the name uncultured bacterium. RNAcentral's name for it is "partial 16S ribosomal RNA". It matches the Rfam family "Bacterial small subunit ribosomal RNA", at positions 524 to 776 of the family's 1533-position model. The record is from RNAcentral.
UACGAAGGGGGCUAGCGUUGCUCGGAAUUACUGGGCGUAAAGCGCACGUAGGCGGUUUCUUAAGUCGGUGGUGAAAUCCUGGAGCUCAACUCCAGAACUGCCUUCGAUACUGGGGAAACUUGAGUUCGGGAGAGGUGAGUGGAACUGCGAGUGUAGAGGUGAAAUUCGUAGAUAUUCGCAAGAACACCAGUGGCGAAGGCGGCUCACUGGCCCGAUACUGACGCUGAGGUGCGAAAGCGUGGGGAGCAAACAGG